Long non-coding RNA from Bos taurus (domestic cattle), 1949 nucleotides. The record is from Ensembl. Lineage: Eukaryota; Metazoa; Chordata; Mammalia; Artiodactyla; Bovidae.
CACUUUUAACACACUGUUCAAUUUGCCACAAUUCCCUACUCUCUGUUUUCACAUAGCAGUAUUUCUCUAUAAUAACACUGGUGUCUCUUUCUCCUUCCCUCUCUCUUAUCAGCAGCUUCUCAGGUGAGGAAUGAUUUAGCUGAAUGGUGAGUUUGGAAGGAGAAACCAUACACAUGCAGCUUUCCACUCUCUCAUUGGAGCUGCCUACCUGCCUAAAGUUGAAGAGUUUCUGGUCUGUUUCCCUGACCAUUCUGUAAGUUUGGUGGGUCACUGUGCCUGAGACUGGAUAGAAUGUUUAAAUCAGGGAAAUAUUAGCAAAUCCUAUGUCAUGCCCCCUGAAUUGGCUUUAUCACAAAGUUCACUGACAACAAGCCCUGCCUGUCUGCUCAAAGCCUUCAAUCAGCUGUUCAGCCUCUUAUUCUUAAACAUACGCCAACAACCAAAGUUCAGCAGAAACCUGAGAGAAAAUCUUUAUUGUGAUAGAGAUAAAACAUAAAUACAUACACAGUAAUACAGGGGGGAAAAGACUACAUAACAAAAUAGAAACCUGAAAACAAAGUAACUUACAAUCAUUACUAUCCUCAGAUGGAUCCUACAAGCUUCUAGAGGGGAAAACAAACAAAAACAAGAUAGGGCACAUAUAAAGGAACAAGAAUCAAACCAGCUUCAAGCCUUCUCAGUGGUCACAAUGGAAGCUGGAGACAACAGAGAAAUCCCUUCAAAUUUUUAACGGAAAACAACAGCCAGCUUGGAAUUUUAUAUCAUAGUAUUAUUUAAACCGAGAGCAGAAUUCAAGACAAUUUCCAGACAUUCAAGGACCCAUACUUCAUCUCCCAUAGAGCCUUUCUCAGGAAGCUGCUAAAUGUGCUUUACAUCAAAGAGAGUAAACCAAGAGACAUAAGAGUAGGGUAUAGAAAUAGAAAGAUCAUAGGACUCUUCAGGAAAAUAAAAACAAAAUCCAGGAUAACUGUACCAGGAGAAGAGAGUGGCCAGUUCAGAUUUGUGCAGAAUGACUCGAGACUUCAACAUAAUGCUUUCUUAUGUGGUACCAUAUUUUUAAAAAAAUCUGACGAUGCCUGAGUGAGCCUGACCUAAGUUGGCUUGCUGAUGCUCUAGCUCUUUCCUUCUGCUCCCUGGAUCUUUUAAGAACACACAAAUGUUCUGCUUUGACCUACUCCUGAGUGCUGAAGGAUAGCCACCAGAAGUUAAAAGUGGAAAAGCCUAAGCAGCCCUAUCCUCCUGAUUGUGUUACAGGCAGGUAUCUAGUUCUAGGUGCUGGCACAUCUUUCAAAAUAUUGGGUUGGCCAGAAAGUUGGUUUGGGUCUUUCUGUACUAUUGUAUGGAAAAAUCAAACGCUCUUUCCCACCAACCCAGUACAUAAAAUGUGGAUAACCCUAGGUUUCCCAGUAUUAGCUGAAUGACUUUCUCCAGAAAAGGUUUUGUAAAAUAUCAGAGAAAAUGAGGCCAGACCAUGACCCAGAGCCCAUUUUCAGCUUAUCUUCUUCUAGGACACCUCAUCAAAUAGUGGCAAUUCUGCCUUCUGAACACACAGUUACAUUUCUGCAUAAUACCCCACUUUUAAUCAUCGUCUAUACUCAUUCAUGGGCUUCCCUUGUAGUUCAGUCGGUAAAGAAUCUCCUUGCAAUGCAGGAGACAGGGUUUGAUUCCUGGGUUGGGAAGAUCCCCUGGAGAAGGAAAUGGCAACCCACUCUAGUAGCCUGGAGAAUCACAUGGACAGAGGAGCCUGGUAGGUUCCCGGGCCAUGGAGUCCCAAGAGUCGGACACAACUUAGCAACUAAACCACCAUACUCAUUUAUAUGUGUAUUUUUCAUAAAUCAUUUCAUUAAAAAAUAACAUCAAGUAGGAAUGCAAGAACAGCUCAAUAUCAGAAAUCAAUGUUAUUCUCUAUAUUACUAUAACUAAAGGUGAAAAAAAAAAAACACCUGAAC